RNAcentral lists this long non-coding RNA (276 nucleotides) under Elaeis guineensis (African oil palm). Its description in RNAcentral is "long non-coding RNA (EGUI_LNC056596)". Lineage: Eukaryota; Viridiplantae; Streptophyta; Magnoliopsida; Arecales; Arecaceae. The record is from RNAcentral.
AGAGAGUGAGGAAGAUAAGAAGAAAAGUUUUUCUUCUCUUCAUGAUGAUCUGGUUCAGAUCCCGUUAGAUCUGGAUGACAGAGUUCGCGCAGUCUUCAUCCUUUUCGAGUUCUAAAAGAGGAUUCAGAUCCAAAGAUGAGGAGUGAGGCCUGCAAGGUGCUAGUAUACCAGUAGACUCUAUGCUCUGAUCAGGUAUCUUUGUGUGGAUACCAGUAGAGGUUGGAUGCUUGCAUGGCUAAAGAAAUCCCUUCAGAUCCACGAUCAUCGACUAGGUGU